GAUUAAGUUAUUAAGGGCGCACGGUGGAUGCCUUGGCACUAGAAGCCGAUGAAGGACGUUACUAACGACGAUAUGCUUUGGGGAGCUGUAAGUAAGCUUUGAUCCAGAGAUUUCCGAAUGGGGAAACCCAGCAUGAGUUAUGUCAUGUUAUCGAUAUGUGAAUACAUAGCAUAUCAGAAGGCACACCCGGAGAACUGAAACAUCUUAGUACCCGGAGGAAGAGAAAGAAAAUUCGAUUCCCUUAGUAGCGGCGAGCGAAACGGGAAGAGCCCAAACCAACAAGCUUGCUUGUUGGGGUUGUAGGACACUCUAUACGGAGUUACAAAGGACGACAUUAGACGAAUCAUCUGGAAAGAUGAAUCAAAGAAGGUAAUAAUCCUGUAGUCGAAAAUGUUGUCUCUCUUGAGUGGAUCCUGAGUACGACGGAGCACGUGAAAUUCCGUCGGAAUCUGGGAGGACCAUCUCCUAAGGCUAAAUACUCUCUAGUGACCGAUAGUGAACCAGUACCGUGAGGGAAAGGUGAAAAGCACCCCGGAAGGGGAGUGAAAUAGAACCUGAAACCGUGUGCUUACAAGUAGUCAGAGCCCGUUAAUGGGUGAUGGCGUGCCUUUUGUAGAAUGAACCGGCGAGUUACGAUUUGAUGCAAGGUUAAGCAGUAAAU
Molecule: ribosomal RNA, 661 nt
Filed under: Staphylococcus aureus
Lineage: Bacteria; Bacillati; Bacillota; Bacilli; Caryophanales; Staphylococcaceae
Description: partial 23S ribosomal RNA
Rfam family: Bacterial large subunit ribosomal RNA
Source: RNAcentral